Molecule: non-coding RNA, 21 nt
Organism: Caenorhabditis elegans
Lineage: Eukaryota; Metazoa; Nematoda; Chromadorea; Rhabditida; Rhabditidae
Source: Ensembl
UGGUUUUCGGAUUAAAGCAAU